ACGUCCUCCACCUCCCUUCACCUCCAGUGCCCCCUCCUCCCUCUCCAGCGCCGCCACAGCCGCCUGGGCGAUGCUUCCACCCACCACCCAUGGUUGAGGUCGGCGAAGCGGCCCAUCGCGAGGCGCCUGGGGACGCUGCCUCCCUCCGCCGCCAGCAGCGGCGACCGGCUAGCGUGCGUUCGCCGCCACCAAAACCGGAUGGCGUGCUGUCCGGCGAGGGGCCCGACCUGUCGUCUUCGUCGCGCGUCCUGGGCCGACGGAGGGCAGACGCCGAUGCCCACCAGCCGCGGCAUGCUCGAUCUGGAUAUUCAUCCUCGUGCCCAGCCGCUGCUCCUCGGCAUAUUCCUCUCUCCACACCGCCGCUCGCUCCAUCGCGUCACCCGCACUGCCGCUCACCUUCGCCUCGUCAGCGCCUUCUGCUGCUACUGCCGCCGGCGCGUCUCCUAGCUCUUGAACGACCAAACCAUGCAUCGCUACUCCAUGGGAUUCUAAUUUGCCUUUGCAUGCUUGCAGGUUUGAUUGCUGGACCAGCUGCUGGACGUGGAGCACUGGAUCCGGCAGGCGGUGGUGCUCUGGGGCGUCGCCCCCCUCGUCGGCGCCUUCUCGAUCACCGUGUAAACUCACAAUUAUUGUACAGAUUGAUGCUACGGCUGUACUGCAGAGUUCCAGUAAUAGACACAUUAUGGAAGUGGUGAGGGUCGAUGACUUGAUUUGCAUCAGUGAGAUGAAGAUAGCUGCCAUUGUAAAUGCCACUGUGCCAUAAAGCCAAGGAUUAAAGUUGUCUGCAGUGAACCGUGUCUCUGUGAGAGGAUCAUAACAAGAGGUAACACACCGCCCUUGCAUAAUAAUGUAGUAGUAUAUGGAUCAUAACAAACUGUGGUUGUGAUCAGACCUUGUAAUUUUUACCUUUCCUCCAAGAUCAUCCUCUCCUAAUAUGCCAUGUGUCGACAGCAGCAGGAUCAGGCUAAGCUUGCCCAUGUAAGUGUAGCUCCUCUAAUCUUAUUACUAUGUUCCGAUGAUCUAGCUUAUUUGUUGCAUCUUCAUCUUUUCACAUGGGAUUGCCUUGUGCUUAAUUUGGUCUGAUCAUUGAACAUAUAAAUCCAGCUACCCAACCCGCCAUUCUAGCGCCAUCCCCGUUUCAAAUUCGUCCUAAACACUCGAUUUGCCUCGCUGGCCAGCGACGUCGUACCUUUCAUCGUGGUGGUAAACAUCUGGUCGCUCGUUCUUCUGUACUCCAAGUAACCGGGCUAGAGCGACUGACACAUGGGCCAGCCUCGCAGCGGCCGGUGUGUGCGUGCUUCUGUCCGGGUGAAAAGCAGGGUGAAUCGAUCGUGGGUUGGCAGGGUGUUUUUUUACAGUCAUCGUUUGCACCCAGCGGCCACCCGUGAAAAUAUCUCCUCUCCCUUGCCUUCUCUCACGUGCUCUCCCCUCCCCUGAUCCCCUCCUUCCCUACCGUCACGCAGCGGCCGACACGGCCUUCUCUCCCCGGCGCUUGAGGUACAGCAGCGGCUGCGGCACUUCUCGGCCCAGCCGGAUCCGGUGCAGGUCGCCGGUAUCACGCGCCGCGUGUCGUGAUUCUGGAUCGGGCGCAGAUCUUGCCACCUAUCCUCCUCUCUCUCUCCCAUGUCGCCAUUGUUGCAAGGAGCAGGGGAGAUAGGUGCCGAGGACAAGAAGCAACGGGUUGGUCAGGGUGGGCUUGAGCUGCUGGGGAGAUGGAGGAGGCCGUCGUGGUUCGUCAUGGAGGCGGCGCCGCCGGCAAGCUGGUUGAGCACAGAGGAAUGAGGAAUGGAUACAUGAGGCAUGGCGUAAGCGUAGGGGUCAGCCAGGGCACGACGCAAGAGUCUGCCCAUCUCCUCUCAAACACGAAAGGCACUAAUGCGUCCCAAAAACCUAGCGCACAAAGGACCAAUCCUUCCCUUCCUCGAGCCCCAUUCGAGUCCGCGCCGUUCAGCAUCUCCAGCCUCCCCCGCUCCUCGACCCUCCGGCCCCACGGCCUCUCGCGCCGCCGCCUUCUUCCCUGGACGUCUUCCCCGACGCUCGUGGUGCAGCAGCGGCCAUUGCAGUAGCCGCUGGAACUGAUGGAUAUUGACAUGGGUAACAAAAUAGUUGAAAGAUUUUGUACCGACGAGGCUCUUGAGACUACAAACAUUUCUUCACUCCUUGUAUGAAAGGAUUCUAGGACUAAGUUAUAGGAUUUUAUAUUUUAGUCGGAUAUUCCUUCUGUUAAUAUGUGCUCCUGUGCAAUUUUUCAUAGGCUUCUCUUUCCUUUUUCUGGUUACGAUUUACAAAGCUGAGCAAUAGUUUCUCUACUAAUAUAGCUUGUGAAAAACAUCCGUCUUUAGGAUGCUUUUGCGGCAUGUGUAACUGCCUCACAUUAGCCUAUGCUUCUAUCCGAGUUGUUUACUAUUAAGACCAUAAUGGAUCAUGCUUUUUAACUGGCAUAUAAGUGUUGAUGGAAAAUGAUGUCUCAUUUUUUGCCUGGUAAAUUUUAAUUGGCGCAUGCAAUCCAUGCUUCCCAGUCUUUGGUGACAAUGUUGUCAGGCCUAAAAAUAGAAGUUUUCGAUUUCCUCUCUCUGGUUUUUAGUUGGUUAGAUGUUAAUGCGUGGAAAUGUAUAUGCUGAUUUUUUUCCUGUUUUAAUAAAUUGCUAAUACGUGGAUCUUGUCUGCUUUGCAUGGACUAUAGUAUAUAUUCACAGACUUUGUCUGCUUGCUUGAAAACUAAAAUAUGACUUUUACUUGCCUAUUACCAAAGAAGAUUUCAUGCAUGCCACAUCAAGUCGCCACAGAUGCCUCCAAGUGAAAUUUCAGCGACGACAAGGUAUAUUUUCCCCAACACCUGAUCUUCUUUAAUCAGACUACCAUUCAUUAUUGCGUAUAGGCUUCUUACUCUGUGCCUGAAUAAGCGAUUGGUAUCCACAUGUUUGUUUCCAUGUGUUCUACUGUCUUUCUGGUACUUGAAGCAUAGUAUGUUCAUGUGUGCGACUACAGUUCCAGCGAGUUGGAAGUCCUGUUGUUCUCAAAGUUUGCAUCAUAUGCCCUUUAGAGAAAUCUUUAUUGAACAUUUUAAUUUUCCUCAUACAUGCUUAUCAUUUGGCAUCAUGUUAUUUUGUGACACAGUAACUGAAUAUGCACACAAGAGGAUCCCUCUGGAUGUGUAGGGGGUAUGAAGUAAUAGCCAUUUUUUUUCUCUGUGUAGAUUUGGCAUCAUAUUGCCCAGUAACUGAAUAUGCAUGCAGGAGGAUCACUCUGGAUGAUGGAAAAUGCAUUAUCCGUGGUAAGAAGCUAACGGUGUCGCCCCAUUUAUACCACAUUUAGGCAUGAUAAUUAAAUUAGCCUUCAAAUUAAAUAGAUGUCCGCAUUCAUGGGUACAUAGAUGAGCUGAGCUACUAUUUUCUUGUUUGGGAAUGAGAUAACACUAUACAAACAGCAUGUUGACACUCUGAACAGCUUAAUACUAGACGGAAACAAAAUUUCUCUUCCUACUAUGUCUGUACCAUGAACAAGAUGUUCGCAACAAGUGGUCAACAAAUGGUAUUCUGUUCCUGUCCUUUCUCCUUUUUAUGAAUCUUCAUAGCUGCAUCUUAACCAUGCUUAAUAUCUAUUGCAGUACUUUUCCACUCACUUCACACAAGAAUAUCUCAAGGGGCACAUGCAUGAAGAGCAUACUAAUUUGCUGAUCAAAGCUGGAAACAGACCUGCCAUCGUCAUUGCUCGGCUUAUCAUACAAUCACAAGAAGCUGGACUCAGUUCUUUGACAUCGCAAAUAUGAAAGGAGGAGUGUCAUAUGCAUUUGCCUUUGAGGAAUUGGCGGGAGAACUCAUAUCAUCGUGCACUCCCUUUGAUAGCGUCAUGAGCAACCACUGCCAUCAUCUCAUAAUAUAGCUCAGGUUCAAGACCUAGGUCAUGCACUACUUUUCUCGACCAUAUAAUGUGCUCUGCGUCACCUUAUCCUUUCAGCUCCAGUACUUCAUAAUAUAGAGUAGAUGAAACAUCUUUUUAAAUUGGUGUGGAAAUACCAAUGCAGAUGGAGCUAUGUAAUCCAGCUUGCUUUCUAUCAUGAGUUGGUCUCAUGACUUUGUUUUUAGCCAUCUUGGUACCAUGCAAUGGAAUAUAUAACACUAUGUUUGAACAUCGUA
Molecule: RNA transcript, 4136 nt
Organism: Triticum dicoccoides
Lineage: Eukaryota; Viridiplantae; Streptophyta; Magnoliopsida; Poales; Poaceae
Exons: 7
Source: RefSeq, a predicted model, not a curated record